Molecule: ribosomal RNA, 514 nt
Filed under: uncultured bacterium
Lineage: Bacteria
Description: partial 16S ribosomal RNA
Rfam family: Bacterial small subunit ribosomal RNA
Source: RNAcentral
GAUGAACGCUGGCGGCGUGCCUAAUACAUGCAAGUCGAGCGAACUGAUUAGAAGCUUGCUUCUAUGACGUUAGCGGCGGACGGGUGAGUAACACGUGGGCAACCUGCCUGUAAGACUGGGAUAACUUCGGGAAACCGAAGCUAAUACCGGAUAGGAUCUUCUCCUUCAUGGGAGAUGAUUGAAAGAUGGUUUCGGCUAUCACUUACAGAUGGGCCCGCGGUGCAUUAGCUAGUUGGUGAGGUAACGGCUCACCAAGGCAACGAUGCAUAGCCGACCUGGGAGGGUGAUCGGCCACACUGGGACUGAGACACGGCCCAGCCUCCUACGGGAGGCAGCAGUAGGGAAUCUUCCGCAAUGGACGAAAGUCUGACGGAGCAACGCCGCGUGAGUGAUGAAGGCUUUCGGGUCGUAAAACUCUGUUGUUAGGGAAGAACAAGUACAAGAGUAACUGCUUGUACCUUGACGGUACCUAACCAGAAAGCCACGGCUAACUACGUGCCAGCCGCCGCCGUAA